GUUUGUUUGUGAACUAUUACAAAGAUGUUUCUGUCGCAAGAGAACCUGGCUGAAGAAAUCCGGCAACAAGCCGCUUCUAUAGAUGCCUAAUGCGAUAAAAAUUCCGCUAAGUGAAAGUUCUGGACGCGGAGUUUGUAAAUACCACGCUGCAUAUUUCCACAUCCACGACGAAAUAGCUGUAGGACCCUGUUCAAUAAGGUAUACGUUUUAGAUUAUUUCGUAAGUCAUUAAUCAAAUAGUCAAAACAUUGAACAUUCACAAUAAAAGGUCUAGAGCAUUGCAAGAUGUAUGUUUCAAGUAUUCAAAGUUCUACCUUCAUGGGAAGCUAUGUAGUGUCUGUCAGUAUCUAAUUAAAAUAAUAUACCAUUUGAUAGAAUGUAUUUUUGUAUUAUACAGAAGAUAUUAAUUUAAUAAUAUAUGUAUAUAAAUGUUAUGGGACAAUCUUACCCAAAUUGACAAAGCCCCACAAUAAGCUCAAGAAGGCUUAUGUUGUGAUAUAUAAUAAAUACACACAUGGAAAACACACACCAAAUGACUCAGGAACAGAUAUCUGUGCUCAUCACAUAAAUAAAUACAUAAUGCCGAGAUUCAAACUGAGUUGUUCGCAAAGUAGUGUACUUCUACGUUAUUUUUCCAUUUAAACUUUUAUGGCAGGCAGAUUAUCAACAUGAAGUGGGCCGGGACCAAAUGGAUGCCUGUUUCUCAGCAAGCGGUGUCCAACUGCUAAAUUACCCCGGUCUUAUCAGUAUGGGCUAUCAUUAAAGCCGGGGGUUUUCGAUGCACACAUGUGACCCUUCAUGGGCCAUAGGAAUAUGAAGACCGCUUCUUGUAUAUCUUUUCCAUCACGGAACAAUGGUGUUCCGGACCUUUGGUAGGCGUGCGCGGAGCCGUAGGCAACACAUACGGGAUCAUAUCAAUUACGUGGACAAGUCGUAUGGUGGGACAACCUACGACACCUUUAUAUGGAGCAACAGCGUUAGUCGAGAUUACUUCGAGCAGCUGGCAUGUGUGGCACCAGCGAAAUAGUGUACAUUAGAUAUGGGAACAAGUCAACUACAUCAUUAACAUGGACGCGUCGUACGGCAGGGCAACCCACGACGCC
This is a long non-coding RNA of Cydia splendana, 1102 nucleotides long. RefSeq lists it as uncharacterized. The transcript has 4 exons. The record is from RefSeq and is a predicted model, not a curated record. Lineage: Eukaryota; Metazoa; Arthropoda; Insecta; Lepidoptera; Tortricidae.